Mytilus californianus (California mussel) is the source of this 467-nucleotide long non-coding RNA. RefSeq lists it as uncharacterized. The transcript has 3 exons. NCBI's taxonomy places the organism in Eukaryota, Metazoa, Mollusca, Bivalvia, Mytilida, Mytilidae. The record is from RefSeq and is a predicted model, not a curated record.
CAGGCAUGUAAGUUGUCUACAGGUCUAUACCUAUAUAAAAAGUCCACUAUCGCUGUGGACAUCAUAUCACUUGGUGCUAAACAACAAAGACAAAAUGAACAAUCUGGCUGUUGUGUUGUGUGUUGUCUUGGUCUGCUCAUGCACCAUUCAAGCCCAAUUCCUGAGUGGUUUGACAUCCGGCCAGGCAUUUGGCCUAGGAUUGGGACUUCCGUUCUUCUUAGGAGGAAUUGGUAGAGGAUUAAGUGGACGUGGAGGUGUUGGAUACCCAAUUCCCCCACCACCACAACCAUUCCUUCUCCCACCACCAGUCUACCAGCCAAUCACCGUCCACCGCAGAAGAUACGUCAGAUAUUGAAGAAACAGCGAAAAACAAGAAGAAUGAAGAUAAUGUUAGAACUCUUAACAACAGCCACGUGUAAACAAACAGCACCAACAACAAAUACUAUCAAUAAAUGUCAUGUUUUUUA